CCUACGGGUGGCAGCAGUGGGGAAUAUUGCGCAAUGGGCGAAAGCCUGACGCAGCGACGCCGCGUGAGGGAUGAAGGUCUUCGGAUCGUAAACCUCUGUCAGCAGGGAAGCACGGUCACUGUGCUAAUCAGCAGUGAAUUGACGGUACCUGCAAAGGAAGCACCGGCUAACUCCGUGCCAGCAGCCGCGGUAAUACGGCGGGUGCGAGCGUUAAUCGGAAUUGCUGGGCGUAAAGCGCUCGUAGGCGGUAUGUCAAGUCAAGGGUGAAAUCCCCGCGCUCAACGUGGGAACUGCCUUUGAAACUGGCAAACUGGAGUGUGUGAGAGGAUAGUGGAAUUCCAGGUGUAGGAGUGAAAUGCGUAGAUAUCUGGAGGAACAUCAGUGGCGAAGGCGACUAUCUGGCACAUAACUGACGCUGAGGAGCGAAAGCGUGGGUAGCAAACAGGAUUAGAUACCCGGGUAGUC
Molecule: ribosomal RNA, 465 nt
Filed under: uncultured bacterium
Lineage: Bacteria
Description: partial 16S ribosomal RNA
Rfam family: Bacterial small subunit ribosomal RNA
Source: RNAcentral